Molecule: small RNA, 126 nt
Filed under: Salmonella enterica subsp. enterica serovar Newport
Lineage: Bacteria; Pseudomonadati; Pseudomonadota; Gammaproteobacteria; Enterobacterales; Enterobacteriaceae
Description: RtT sRNA
Rfam family: RtT RNA
About the family: This family represents a bacterial cis-regulatory element known as RtT RNA.
Source: RNAcentral
UUGCUAUCUGCGAUAUGGAAGAUUCGAACCUGCCGCAGGUUCGGGUCGAACGCAGUGAGACAACGGAGCCGUUUACGGCGACGGCCCGAAGGGCGAGCGAAUCGAGUCAUCCUGCACGACCCACCA